Molecule: RNA transcript, 971 nt
Organism: Sphaerodactylus townsendi
Lineage: Eukaryota; Metazoa; Chordata; Lepidosauria; Squamata; Sphaerodactylidae
Gene: HSBP1
Gene name: heat shock factor binding protein 1
Exons: 4
Source: RefSeq, a predicted model, not a curated record
GCCUCCGUCUGUCGGGGACGUUUCACAGAGAGAGGAAAUCGCCGAGCGAGGCCCGGAAGCCCUUCGCGGACGAGCCAGGCCGGGAGACUGAGGGGCAGCCGGAGCGAACCAGAAUGGCAGAGACGGACCCCAAAACCGUUCAGGACCUGACCGCUGUGGUGCAAACCCUGUUGCAGCAGAUGCAGGACAAGUUUCAAACCAUGUCGGACCAGAUUAUUGGCAGGAUUGAUGACAUGAGCUGUCGCAUCGACGACCUGGAGAAGAACAUAGCGGAUCUCAUGACUCAGGCUGGAGUCGAGGAACUAGAAGGCGAGAACAAGACCGCUGCAAACAAAACUUCAAGUGAGAGCAACUUUGAAACAAUUUGAUGUCUGCUGACCAAAGUGUGCAGGGAUGGCCAGUCCAGAGUCGUGGCUGCUUAGGGUUCCCAGUAAUCCUGGACUGGUGCCAGAAAGAGAACAUUUUUAUGAGCUUGCAGGGAUUUCAAGAUGGCGUUUGUUUGGCUUUGAUUUUUCAACUUCUGUGUAUAAAAGCAUUUUUCUACAGCUGUAGAACACGCAUUCCUAAUGUACCUUGUAUAGCUGGUCCUGGAACUGUUUCUAUUCUGAUAUAUUGCAAAUUUGUGGAUUUCACACUUUUUCUUUUUUGAAUGGUCAUGUUUUAAACGCUUCAGUUAUUAAAAACACAGUUUUGAUGGAGUUCAACUAUAAUACUAACAUUUGGAUAGAUUUUUGUGAAAUUGUCUUUUUCAAAAAAAACCUUAUAUGGGGUUUUUUUGUGUCAUUUCUUUUCGUAAUUCUUUUCACUUGGAUGGCUAAUUUUUUGUGAUCAGCCUGAGCAACAGAUUUGUCACAUGCGCAUGUGACAGUUCUGUGCAGUUGGGCACAGGAAUGAAAACUCUGUGUUCUAAAAUCUCUCCGAGUAAUGCAUUGAGUAUAGUGACUACAACAUUAGCUGUUAAGUUUAACACA